This 433-nucleotide ribosomal RNA is filed under the name uncultured bacterium. RNAcentral's name for it is "partial 16S ribosomal RNA". It matches the Rfam family "Bacterial small subunit ribosomal RNA", at positions 29 to 507 of the family's 1533-position model. The record is from RNAcentral.
AACGAACGCUGGCGGCAUGCCUAACACAUGCAAGUCGAACGAAACCUUCGGGUCUUGUGGCGCACGGCUGCGUAACGCGUGGGAACCUGCCCUUAGGUUCGGAAUAACUCCCCGAAAGGGGUGCUAAUACCGGAUAAUGUCUUCGGACCAAAGAUUUAUUGCCGUUGGAUGGGCCCUCGUUGGAUUAGCUUGUUGGUAGGGUAAAAGCCUACCAAGGCGACGAUCCAUAGCUGGUCUGUGAGGAUGAUAAGCCACACUGGGGCUAAGACACGGCCCAGACUCCUACGGGAGGCAGGAGUGGGGAAUAGUGGACAAUGGGCGAAAGCCUGAUCCAGCAAUGCCGCGUAAGUGAUGAAGGCCGUAGGGUUGUAAAGCUCUUUUACCCGGGAUGAUAAUGACAGUACCGGGAGAAUAAGCCCCGGCUAACUCCGUG